This 418-nucleotide ribosomal RNA is filed under the name uncultured prokaryote. RNAcentral describes it as "bacterial SSU rRNA". It matches the Rfam family "Archaeal small subunit ribosomal RNA", at positions 455 to 873 of the family's 1478-position model. The record is from RNAcentral.
GUGCCAGCAGCCGCGGUAAUACCAGCUCUCCGAGUGGUAGGGACGAUUAUUGGGCUUAAAGCGUCCGUAGCCGGCUUAGCAAGUCUCCUGUUAAAUUCGGCGACCUAAUCGUUGAGCCGCGGGAGAUACUACUAGGCUAGGAGGCGGGAGAGGUCGACGGUACUUCCGGGGUAGGGGUGAAAUCCUAUAAUCCCGGGAGGACCACCAGUGGCGAAGGCUGUCGACUAGAACGCGCUCGACGGGGAGGGACGAAAGCUGGGGGAGCGGGCCGGAUUAGAUACCCGGGUAGUCCCAGCCGUAAACGAUGCAUGCUAGGUGUUGGGUUGGCCACGAGCCACCCCAGUGCCGCAGGGAAGCCAUUAAGCCCGCCGCCUGGGGAGUACGGCCGCAAGGCUGAAACUCAAAGGAAUUGACGGGG